UGGGUAACCUGCCCUCAGCUCUGGGAUAACUCCAAGAAAUGGGGGCUAAUACCGGAUAUGACCGCUGACCGCAUGGUCUGGUGGUGGAAAGAUUUAUCGGCUGGGGAUGGGCCCGCGGCCUAUCAGCUUGUUGGUGGGGUAGUGGCCUACCAAGGCGACGACGGGUAGCCGGCCUGAGAGGGUGACCGGCCACACUGGGACUGAGACACGGCCCAGACUCCUACGGGAG
RNAcentral lists this ribosomal RNA (229 nucleotides) under uncultured bacterium. RNAcentral describes it as "partial 16S ribosomal RNA". It matches the Rfam family "Bacterial small subunit ribosomal RNA", at positions 118 to 347 of the family's 1533-position model. The record is from RNAcentral.